This 440-nucleotide ribosomal RNA is filed under the name uncultured bacterium. RNAcentral's name for it is "partial 16S ribosomal RNA". It matches the Rfam family "Bacterial small subunit ribosomal RNA", at positions 338 to 795 of the family's 1533-position model. The record is from RNAcentral.
CCUACGGGAGGCAGCAGUGGGGGAUAUUGCACAAUGGGGGAAACCCUGAUGCCGCGACGCCGCGUGUAGGAAGACGGUCCUCUGGAUUGUAAACUACUGUCCCCAGGGACGAAGAUGACGGUACCUGGGGAGGAAGCUCCGGCUAACUACGUGCCAGCAGCCGCGGUAAUACGUAGGGAGCGAGCGUUGUCCGGAAUUACUGGGUGUAAAGGGAGCGUAGGCGGGGAUGCAAGUUGGGUGUUAAAUCUACGGGCUCAACUGGUAGUCGCACUCAAAACUGCAGCUCUUGAGUGAAGUAGAGGCAGGCGGAAUGCCUAGUGUAGCGGUGAAAUGCGUAGAUAUUAGGAGGAACACCAGUGGCGAAGGCGGCCUGCUGGGCUUUUACUGACGCUGAGGCUCGAAAGUGUGGGGAGCAAACAGGAUUAGAUACCCCAGUAGUC